Molecule: ribosomal RNA, 1234 nt
Filed under: metagenome
Description: bacterial LSU rRNA
Rfam family: Bacterial large subunit ribosomal RNA
Source: RNAcentral
UGAAUACGAGAGGCUACGGCCUUGAAGCAGUCUAUGUCAUACUUCCAAGAAAAGCUUGCACUGUCAUAAACAAAUAAUGCCUGUACCAUAACCGACACAGGUGGGUAGGUAGAGUAUACUAAGGGGCGCGAGAUAACUCUCUCUAAGGAACUCGGCAAAAUGACUCCGUAACUUCGGGAGAAGGAGUGCCUUAUUUAUAAGGUUGCAAUAACAAGAUCCAAGCAACUGUUUAUCAAAAACACAGGUCUCCGCUAAGUCGUAAGACGAUGUAUGGGGGCUGACGCCUGCCCAGUGCCAGAAAGUUAAAGAAGUUGGUUAGCAUUAGCGAAGCUGAUAACUGAAGCCCUGGUGAACGGCGGCCGUAACAAUAACGGUCCUAAGGUAGCGAAAUUCCUUGUCGGGUAAGUUCCGACCCGCACGAAAGGCGUAAUGAUUUGGAUACUGUCUCGGAGAGGGACUCGGUGAAAUAGACUUGUCUGUGAAGAUGCGGACUACCUGCACCAGGACAGAAAGACCCUAUGAAGCUUUACUGUAACUUGAGAUUGAAAUUGGACUUUAUUUGCGCAGUAUAGGUGGGAAGCGUUGAGAAUAUUCUUGCGGGAAUAUUGGAGCUAUCAGUGAGAUACCACUCUUGUAAUGUUAGAUUUCUAACUUUGAAUCAUUAUCUGGUCAAAGGACAGUUUCAGGCGGGCAGUUUGACUGGGGCGGUCGCCUCCCAAACGGUAACGGAGGCGUACAAAGGUUUCCUCUGAACGGGUAGAAAUCGUAUCUAGAGUGUAAAGGCAUAAGGAAGCUUGACUGUGAGACCUACAAGUCGAGCAGGGACGAAAGUCGGUCUUAGUGAUCUGACGGUUCUGAGUGGAAAGGCCGUCACUCAACGGAUAAAAGUUACUCUAGGAUAACAGGCUGAUCUCCCCCAAGAGUUCACAUCGACGGGGAGGUUUGGCACCUCGAUGUCGGCUCAUCGCAUCCUGGGGCGGUAGUACGUCCCAAGGGUUGGGCUGUUCGCCCAUGAAAGCGGUACGCGAGCUGGGUUCAGAACGUCGUGAGACAGUUCGGUCCAUAUCCGGUGUAGGCGUUAGAAUAUUGAGAGGAGCCUUCUUUAGUACGAGAGGACCGAGAAGGACAUACCUCUGGUGUACCAGUUAUCGUGCCAACGGUAAACGCUGGGUAGCUAUGUAUGGAGAGGAUAAUCGCUGAAAGCAUCUAAGUGGGAAGCCCACCUCAAGAUAAG